AGCAUAUCAAUAGCCGGAGG
RNAcentral lists this ribosomal RNA (20 nucleotides) under Tulasnella sp. JTO306. RNAcentral's name for it is "partial 28S ribosomal RNA". The record is from RNAcentral. Lineage: Eukaryota; Fungi; Basidiomycota; Agaricomycetes; Cantharellales; Tulasnellaceae.